RNAcentral lists this ribosomal RNA (239 nucleotides) under uncultured bacterium. Its description in RNAcentral is "partial 16S ribosomal RNA". It matches the Rfam family "Bacterial small subunit ribosomal RNA", at positions 15 to 236 of the family's 1533-position model. The record is from RNAcentral.
GAUCCUGGCUCAGGAUGAACGCUGGCGGCGUGCUUAACACAUGCAAGUCGAGCGAAGCGCUUUUGCGGAUUUCUUCGGAUUGAAGCAACUGUGACUGAGCGGCGGACGGGUGAGUAACGCGUGGGUAACCUACCUCAUACAGGGGGAUAACAGUUGGAAACGGCUGCUGAUACCGCAUAAGCGCACAGUACCGCAUGGUACCGUGUGAAAAACUCCGGUGGUAUGAGAUGGACCCGCGU